GCCAGACUCCUACGGGAGGCAGCAGUGGGGAAUAUUGGGCAAUGGGCGCAAGCCUGACCCAGCAACGCCGCGUGAAGGAAGAAGGCUUUCGGGUUGUAAACUUCUUUUGACAGGGAAGAGUAGAAGACGGUACCUGUCGAAUAAGCCACGGCUAACUACGUGCCAGCAGCCGCGGUAAUACGUAGGUGGCAAGCGUUGUCCGGAUUUACUGGGUGUAAAGGGCGUGUAGCCGGGUUGACAAGUCAGAUGUGAAAUCCUGCGGCUUAACCGCAGAACUGCAUUUGAAACUGUUGAUCUUGAGUACUGGAGAGGCAGACGGAAUUCCUAGUGUAGCGGUGAAAUGCGUAGAUAUACGGAGGAACACCAGUGGCGAAGGCGGAUUGCUGGACAGUAACUGACGCUGAGGCGCGAAAGCGUGGGGAGCAAACAGGAUUAGAUACCCCGGUAUA
This 449-nucleotide ribosomal RNA is filed under the name uncultured bacterium. Its description in RNAcentral is "bacterial SSU rRNA". It matches the Rfam family "Bacterial small subunit ribosomal RNA", at positions 330 to 794 of the family's 1533-position model. The record is from RNAcentral.